Molecule: ribosomal RNA, 266 nt
Filed under: Siphonobacter sp. BAB-5405
Lineage: Bacteria; Pseudomonadati; Bacteroidota; Cytophagia; Cytophagales; Cytophagaceae
Description: partial 23S ribosomal RNA
Rfam family: Bacterial large subunit ribosomal RNA
Source: RNAcentral
GGUGGGCGUUGGAAUUUUGAGAGGGCUUGACCUUAGUACGAGAGGACCGGGUUGAACCGACCGCUGGUAGACCAGUUGUUCCGCCAGGAGCACCGCUGGGUAGCCACGUCGGGUGAAGAUAAGCGCUGAAAGCAUCUAAGUGCGAAACUUGCCUCAAGAUGAGAAUUCCUAUGAGAGCCGUCAGAGACGAUGACGUUGAUAGGCUACCGGUCUAAAGCGAGUGAUCGCAAAGCCAAGUAGUACUAAUGCCUCCAAGACUUCUUAUU